Molecule: ribosomal RNA, 254 nt
Filed under: uncultured bacterium
Lineage: Bacteria
Description: partial 16S ribosomal RNA
Rfam family: Bacterial small subunit ribosomal RNA
Source: RNAcentral
UACGUAGGGACCAAGCGUUGUUCGGAUUUACUGGGCGUAAAGGGCGCGUAGGCGGCAAAUUAAGUCAGCUGUGAAAUCUCCGAGCUUAACUCGGAACUGUCAGCUGAUACUGAUGUGCUAGAGUGCGGAAGGGGCAAUCGGAAUUUUUGGUGUAGCGGUGAAAUGCGUAGAUAUCAAGAGGAACACCUGAGGUGAAGACGGGUUGCUGGGCCGACACUGACGCUGAGUGCGCGAAAGCCAGGGGAGCAAACGGG